GUAGGGAAUCUUCCGCAAUGGACGCAAGUCUGACGGAGCAACGCCGCGUGAGUGACGAAGGUUUUCGGAUCGUAAAACUCUGUUGUGAGGGAAGAACACGUACCAGGUAACUACUGGUACCUUGACGGUACCUCACCAGAAAGCCACGGCUAACUACGUGCCAGCAGCCGCGGUAAUACGUAGGUGGCAAGCGUUGUCCGGAAUUAUUGGGCGUAAAGCGCGCGCAGGCGGUCCUUUAAGUCUGAUGUGAAAGCCCACGGCUCAACCGUGGAGGGUCAUUGGAAACUGGAGGACUUGAGUGCAGAAGAGGAAAGUGGAAUUCCAUGUGUAGCGGUGAAAUGCGUAGAGAUGUGGAGGAACACCAGUGGCGAAGGCGACUUUCUGGUCUGUAACUGACGCUGAGGCGCGAAAGCGUGGGGAGCAA
Molecule: ribosomal RNA, 424 nt
Filed under: uncultured Planomicrobium sp.
Lineage: Bacteria; Bacillati; Bacillota; Bacilli; Caryophanales; Caryophanaceae
Description: bacterial SSU rRNA
Rfam family: Bacterial small subunit ribosomal RNA
Source: RNAcentral